RNAcentral lists this transfer RNA (76 nucleotides) under Candidatus Zambryskibacteria bacterium RIFCSPHIGHO2_02_39_10. Its description in RNAcentral is "tRNA-Phe". Lineage: Bacteria; Candidatus Zambryskiibacteriota. The record is from RNAcentral. RNAcentral also lists the same sequence under 2 other names.
GCCAAGGUAACUCAGUUAGCAGAGUGCUUCCCUGAAGAGGAAGAAGUCGCCAGUGCAACUCUGGCCCUUGGCACCA